RNAcentral lists this ribosomal RNA (465 nucleotides) under uncultured bacterium. Its description in RNAcentral is "partial 16S ribosomal RNA". It matches the Rfam family "Bacterial small subunit ribosomal RNA", at positions 28 to 506 of the family's 1533-position model. The record is from RNAcentral.
GACGAACGCUGGCGGCGCGCCUAACACAUGCCAGUCGAACGAGCGAGAGAGAGCUUGCUUUCUUGAGCGAGUGGCGAACGGGUGAGUAACGCGUGAGGAACCUGCCUCAAAGAGGGGGACAACAGUUGGAAACGACUGCUAAUACCGCAUAAGCCCACGACCCGGCAUCGGGUUGAGGGAAAAGGAGCAAUCCGCUUUGAGAUGGCCUCGCGUCCGAUUAGCUAGUUGGUGAGGUAACGGCCCACCAAGGCGACGAUCGGUAGCCGGACUGAGAGGUUGAACGGCAACAUUGGGACUGAGACAAGGCCCAGACUCCUACGGGAGGCAGCAGUGGGGAAUAUUGCACAAUGGGGGAAACCCUGAUGCAGCGACGCCGCGUGGAGGAAGAAGGUCUUCGGAUUGUAAACUCCUGUUGUUGAGGAAGAUAAUGACGGUACUCAACAAGGAAGUGACGGCUAACUACGU